CAUUGGACAAGCACGAAGGCCAGGAGAAGAAAGACACAUGGGUAGAAGGAGAGAAUUGAGUAAGCUAUUAUCAGCUGCCUCUUACCAGGAGGAGAAUAAGCUCUUACAUUCUGCUGAAUGAAAGAAUAUUGCAGACUGGAAAGAUGAGAAAAGGGGAACUGAAUUAGGAAACAGAACCUCUAAUUGCCUUGCAACACACUGUGACUUCCUACUCCUGCUGCCAGCCCUGACACCCUGCACACACAAAUCCCCUCCCACUGAAACACCCUUAAGUGGAGAAGUCAC
This is a long non-coding RNA of Gallus gallus (chicken), 285 nucleotides long. Lineage: Eukaryota; Metazoa; Chordata; Aves; Galliformes; Phasianidae. The record is from Ensembl.